CUUUACUCAGAGCUACAGUACACAGGCUACAUCUGUCCUUAGUGGAUCUGGCUGCCUUCCUUACCUUCUUAAAUAUAACCUUCAAGUUAUUGAGCCGAUAUAUUUGCUUGCAGCAGUACAGGUAUUGGGUUCUGCUUAUCGCUCCUGACAUGGAAAAGAAGAAAUGUAAUCUUAAGUGAAAUGUUCAGACUUCUCGUGAAUAGCUGCUUGUGCUGAAAUUCAUGCCAGGCAGUAGAAGAAGAUAUCCAUCUGCGGAACCCAUCUUCCAUGGAAGCUAUUAUUGUCUCAUUUUGAGUAUUUAGGAAGUUUCACGCGGAAAAAAAAAUAAAAAAAUAAGGGCAAUUCCAGCUCCUCAGAAGACAAUGAAGAGAUUCCUUAUUUUAAUGGAUGUUAAAACUCUGGGAGAGGUUGCCAUAGUAUGAGAUAAAGGAUUGCAGAGCAGAACAGCAGACCCACACUGGCACAGGAAGUACCCACAAUUCUUUAGGUUACUCACUGCAGCAGCACAAGGCAGGUACUUACCCUUUGUGUGCCUCAGAUUUUUUUCUUGCUUUAUUUUUAAUUUAGUUUUAAGUCACACUAUGCUGCUAAAACAUGGGACUUGAGCCUAGGAAGUCCUGGG
Oxyura jamaicensis (ruddy duck) is the source of this 622-nucleotide long non-coding RNA. RefSeq lists it as uncharacterized. NCBI's taxonomy places the organism in Eukaryota, Metazoa, Chordata, Aves, Anseriformes, Anatidae. The record is from RefSeq and is a predicted model, not a curated record. The transcript is spliced from 3 exons.